UCCGAGUUGACCCCGGCAGUCUCCUAUGAGUUCCCACCAUUACGUGCUGGCAACAUAGAACGAGGGUUGCGCUCGUUGCGGGACUUAACCCAACAUCUCACGACACGAGCUGACGACAGCCAUGCAGCACCUGUGCUGGUGUUCCGAAGAAGGCUCCCUGUUUCCAGGGCGGUCAGGCACAUGUCAAGCCCAGGUAAGGUUCUUCGCGUUGCGUCGAAUUAAACCACAUGCUCCGCUGCUUGUGCGGGUCCCCGUCAAUUCCUUUGAGUUUUAGCCUUGCGGCCGUACUCCCCAGGCGGGCCACUUAAUGCGUUAGCUUCGGCACGGAGGGAGUCGACACCCCCCACACCUAGUGGCCAUCGUUUACAGCGUGGACUAC
This 379-nucleotide unclassified non-coding RNA is filed under the name uncultured Actinomycetes bacterium. RNAcentral describes it as "uncultured actinobacterium contains 16S-23S intergenic spacer region". The record is from RNAcentral. Lineage: Bacteria; Bacillati; Actinomycetota; Actinomycetes.